AUACAUAUAUUCAAUUUUUUUUAAAAUUAAUGGACGUAUUCGAUACCGAAUUUAUUUCUAAUAUAUAUUCCAGAAAAAACACACAAAUGAUUACUAAUUUAAAAGAGUCUAUCAAAGCAAAUGACUUAGCCCUAAUUAUCGAAUGCUUUUAUUUUAUUAUGAAUUUAAAUAUCGAAAAUAUUAGUUCCUUAUGUAUUUUUACUUUAUCAAAAUAUAUAACAUGGAUUGACAUUAAUUAUGUCGUAAAUGAAAAAAUACUUUCUUAUAUAUAUCAAAGUUUAAAUUCUAAUAAUUCGAUUGCUGAAGCAAGUUACUGUUUUUUAACUGCUCUAGUACGAAAAGGUAUGCAUCAUGUAAAUAAAAUACAAUUCAUCGAAAGUAUUAAUGUUAUAUAUGUAAUACAAAAUACUAUUAAAGUUGUUGAUGUCACUAAUAAAAAUGUAAAAAACAUUUUAUUAAAAAAAGGAGAAUGUAUCAACUAUAUAUGUUUAGAAUUAGUAGAAGCUAUUUUUGAGAUUACUAAAUCGAAGGAUUACAAUUUGAACACACUUAAAUAUAAUGAAAUAUGUGAAAAAGCAAGUAAUUUAUUAUUAUUCAUAUUACCACAUGCUUUAGACAUAUAUGCAAUAGACGAUUUUUAUGUAGCUAGUACUGUAGAAAAGUUUUUUAGUUUAUUUUUUACUAAGUAUAAAACUACUAUUGAUUCCUCUGUUUUGUUGUUAGCAGAUAGUACAACUUCUAUUGGUUCAGUUGCUACGACAGGUACUAAUAAUAGUAAUACCAUCAGUGUAACUAAUACUACUACUAAUACUACUACUACUACUAAUACUACAUCACCCGGUAUAGGGAGCAGCACACAAAAUCUUAACCCUUACACUACUACAGCCAUCACCACAUGCGAUAAUACAUACAAAAUACCAAUGACAAAAUUAAACACAUUUAUAAACACACUUAUGUGUACAACUGUUAAUAAAUUUGAGUUCCCUAGUUACAUUAAUGAAAAUUUUGAUGAAGAAGAUGAAGAUUAUAUUAUGUUUGCUAAUUUUAGGGAAAAUAUAGAAAAAUUAUAUCAGCGUUUAAUUAUAUUUGAUAAACUAAAAUCUAUUCAAAUUGUAAAAAAUAGUAUAAUAUAUAUGAACGAACAUUUUGAUAAUUUGCAAUGGAAUAUUAUAGAAGCUAAGUUAUAUGUAUUUUUGUUGACAACUUCUAUAUAUUGUGAGUAUAAAAAUGGAGUUCCCUCUAACGCUCUUACGGCUACUUCCAUUCCAACCCUUCUGAACAACAGCAAAAGCAAUAGCAAUAGCAAUAGCAAUAGCAAUAGCAAUAGCAAUAGCACUAGCAAUUUAUCUAAUAAUCUAAAAAACAACACCAAUAUCGCUAUGUUAGAAAAUAUAAAACAACCAACGAACACGAGCACAAAUACAAGCACAGGAACGGGAACGGGCACGGGCACAUCAAGCACAAGUAAAAGUAUAAGUAGCACAAAUUAUAAUAACUUAAUUUACGACUGCUUAAUAGAAUUGUUAAAAAAUCGUAAAAUCCUAAACUGUACAAACCAUCUUAUAAAUAUUAACAUAAUGGAAUUGUUUCAAAAGUUACAUUCAUUUUUUAUUGCAAACCCACAAUAUGUUGAAUAUUCGUUACAUAUAUUUAUUACUAAUGGUAUUAGAAGUAAUAAAAAUAAAGUACUAAAAAGGAG
This 1699-nucleotide long non-coding RNA is filed under the name Piliocolobus tephrosceles (Ugandan red Colobus). Its description in RNAcentral is "lncRNA (ENSPTEG00000005456.1)". Lineage: Eukaryota; Metazoa; Chordata; Mammalia; Primates; Cercopithecidae. The record is from RNAcentral.